CAGUAAACGAUGAAUGCUCACUGUCCGGGCCGUUUAAGGCCUAGGUGGUCAAGCGAAAGCGUUAAGCAUUCCACCUGGGGAGUACGCCGGCAACGGUGAAACUCAAAGGAAUUGACGGGGGCCCGCACAAGCGGAGGAACAUGUGGUUUAAUUCGAUGAUACGCGAGGAACCUUACCCGGGCUCAAACGGAAGGGGACAGUAUGAGAAAUCAUACAUUCCUUCGGGACCGCUUCCGAGGUGCUGCAUGGUUGUCGUCAGCUCGUGCCGUGAGGUGUCGGCUUAAGUGCCAUAACGAGCGCAACCCCUAUCGACAGUUGCUAGCAGGUAAAGCUGAGGACUCUGUCGAGACUGCCGGCGCAAGCUGUGAGGAAGGCGGGGAUGACGUCAAAUCAGCACGGCCCUUACGUCCGGGGCGACACACGUGUUACAAUGGCAGGUACAGCGGGAAGCCACCCGGCGACGGGGCGCAGAACCCGAAAACCUGUCUCAGUUCGGAUUGGAGUAUGCAACCCGACUCCAUGAAGCUGGAUUCGCUAGUAA
Molecule: ribosomal RNA, 541 nt
Filed under: uncultured bacterium
Lineage: Bacteria
Description: bacterial SSU rRNA
Rfam family: Bacterial small subunit ribosomal RNA
Source: RNAcentral